CCGCGGUAACGACGGGUAACGGGGAAUCAGGGUUCGAUUCCGGAGAGGGGAGCCCCGAGAAACGGCUACCACUUCCAAGGAAGGCAGCAGGCGCGUAAAAUUACCCAAUCCUGACACAGGGAGGUAGUGACGAUAAAUAACAAUGCCGGGCUUUCUAAGUCUGGCAAUUGGAAUGAGAACAAUUUAAAUCCCUUAACGAGGAUCAAUUGGAGGGCAAGUCUGGUGCCAGCAGCCGCGGUAAUUCCAGCUCCAAUAGCGUAUAUUAAAGUUGUUGCAGUUAAAAAGCUCGUAGUUGGAUUUCUGGUCGGAGCGAUCGGUCCGCCUCAUUCGGGGUGUGUACUUUGUGUCGCCUCCAGCCAUCCUUGAGGCGAGCUGUCCUGGCAUUGAGUUGUUGGGUCAGGGGAACCUCAUCUUUUACUGUGAAAAAAUUAGAGUGUUUAAAGCAGGCUUACGCCGUUGAAUACAUUAGCAUAGGAAUAAUAAGAUAGGACUUUGGUGGUCUAUUUUGUUGG
Molecule: ribosomal RNA, 512 nt
Filed under: uncultured eukaryote
Lineage: Eukaryota
Description: SSU rRNA
Rfam family: Eukaryotic small subunit ribosomal RNA
Source: RNAcentral